UACGUAGGUGGCAAGCGUUAUCCGGAUUUAUUGGGCGUAAAGAGAACGCAGGCGGUCUUUUAAGCCUGAUGUGAAAGCCUUCGGCUUAACCGGAGUAGUGCAUUGGAAACUGGGAGACUUGAGUGCAGAAGAGGAGAGUGGAACUCCAUGUGUAGCGGUGAAAUGCGUAGAUAUAUGGAAGAACACCGGUGGCGAAAGCGGCUCUCUGGCCUGUAACUGACACUGAGGCUCGAAAGCGUGGGGAGCAAACAGG
This 253-nucleotide ribosomal RNA is filed under the name uncultured bacterium. RNAcentral describes it as "partial 16S ribosomal RNA". It matches the Rfam family "Bacterial small subunit ribosomal RNA", at positions 524 to 776 of the family's 1533-position model. The record is from RNAcentral.